UUCUGGUUGAUCCUGGCAGAGGUUACUGCUAUCGAGAUUCGACUAAGCCAUGCGAGUCGAAUGUUCUUCGUGAACAUGGCGGACUGCUCAGUAACACGUGGACAACCUACCCUUGGGUCUGGCAUAAUCCUGGGAAACUGGGUAUAAUUCCAGAUAGGUCACAGAUGCUGGAAUGCACUGUGGCCGAAAGCUCCGGCGCCCAAGGAUGGGUCUGCGGCCUGUCAGGGUUGUAGUGGGUGUAACGGACCUACUAGCCUACGACGGGUACGGGUUGUGAGAGCAAGAGCCCGGAGAUGGAUUCUGAGACACGAAUCCAGGCCCUACGGGGUGCAGCAGGCGCGAAAACUUUACAAUGCGGGAAACCGUGAUAAGGGAAUCUCGAGUGCCAGCAUAUAAUGUUGGCUGUCCAGAUGCCUAAAAAGCAUCUGUUAGCAAGGGCCGGGCAAGACCGGUGCCAGCCGCCGCGGUAACACCGGCGGCCCGAGUGGUAACCGCUUUUAUUGGGUCUAAAGGGUCUGUAGCCGGCCAAGUAAGUCCCUUGGGAAAUCUGGCAGCUUAACUGUCAGGCUGCUAGGGGAUACUGCUAGGCUUGGGACCGGGAGAGGUGAGAGGUACCUUGGGGGUAGGGGUGAAAUCUUGUGAUCCUCGGGGGACCACCAGUGGCGAAGGCGUCUCACCAGAACGGGUCCGACGGUAAGGGACGAAAGCUAGGGGCACGAACCGGAUUAGAUACCCGGGUAGUCCUAGCCGUAAACGAUGCUCGCUAGGUGUCAGUCACGGUGCGACCGUGAUUGGUGCCGUAGGGAAGCCGUGAAGCGAGCCACCU
This 826-nucleotide ribosomal RNA is filed under the name uncultured archaeon. RNAcentral's name for it is "bacterial SSU rRNA". It matches the Rfam family "Archaeal small subunit ribosomal RNA", at positions 1 to 829 of the family's 1478-position model. The record is from RNAcentral.